UUGUGGUGGGGAUCGGAGUGUGUACCUUCGAGGGGGCACAACGCAAGAAGUGCACCCCAGAGGGCACAAUCGAGUCUCCGGCUCUCUUUUUUGUACCUUUCUCUCAGGUCGCUGUCCUUCGUUCCUCUUCGACGAGGACAAGCCCCCCCCCUAUCCAGCCUCUCUUCGUUUCACUUUUCCUCCUUUUGAAAGGCGAAGCUAGAUAUGUAAAAUAAGUAGUUGCCGGCCCGAGUGACAUCUAGGGGACGCCUACCAUCAUGGAGCCUGCAGUCUCCGUCUCCAGUAGGGCCGGCGGAUGGCCAUGGCGGGACCCACGUACGUUCUCAUCUCCCAUUGGCCUGAACUCUGGCUGCCCCCUAAAUCUCUCUCCGUCGCCAUCCUCCAUUGAUCUGCUUCCCUCUGUGCCGAAGAUUUGCAGAUCGGUGGGACUGUAGACAGAUUAGCUUCCCUCUGGAUGUUUCGCCGGGCGGCGUCCAGAGAAUCAACCGCACAUGCUGCAUCAUCCAUGGUGGACGUCCCCUCUCUUCCGGAGUUUCGUUCAGACUCCACUGGGCCAGUCUGGGAGUGAUUAAAAUGGAGGUGAAUCGACUUGGUGCAGCCAGAGGGGGAGUAGUGUGUGCACCUUGCUUCAUUUUAAUCACUCCCAGGCGGCUGAUGAGUGCGGCUGAGUUAACGUGACAUAAAAAGCCCUGCACAGUGUGAAAUGCGAGGAUAACAGCUUGAGGAAUUCACAAGAAGGCGGCACGCCGAUAGGAAACCCGCAUCCUUGCCACUGAUGCGUGGGGGGAUCAGGUCGGGUUUAAAACUGUGCUCGUUCUUGCGGACAUGAUGGGCAUGCAGAGGAC
Molecule: long non-coding RNA, 845 nt
Filed under: Spirodela polyrhiza (greater duckweed)
Lineage: Eukaryota; Viridiplantae; Streptophyta; Magnoliopsida; Alismatales; Araceae
Description: long non-coding RNA (SPOL_LNC000358)
Source: RNAcentral